GACGGAAGCUGGCGGCGUGCUUAACACAUGCAAGUCGAACGAAGAGCGAUGGAAGCUUGCUUCUAUCAAUCUUAGUGGCGAACGGGUGAGUAACCGCGUAAUCAACCUGCCCUUCCAGAGGGGGACAACAGUUGGAAACGACCUGCUAAUACCGCAUACGAUCUAAUCUCGGCAUCGAGGAUAGAUGAAAGGUGGCCUCUACAUGUAAGCUAUCACUGAAGGAGGGGAUUGCGUCUGAUUAGCUAGUUGGAGGGGUAACGGCCCCACCAAGGCGAUGAUCAGUAGCCGGUCUGAGAGGAUGAACGGCCACAUUGGGACUGAGACACGGCCCAGACCUCUACGGGAGGCAGCAGUGGGGAAUCUUCCGCAAUGGACGAAAGUCUGACGGAGCAACGCCGCGUGAGUGAUGACGGCUUCGGGUUGUAAAGCUCUGUUAAUCGGGACGAAAGGCCUUUCUUGCGAAUAGUGAGAAGGAUUGACGGUACCCGGAAUUA
RNAcentral lists this ribosomal RNA (494 nucleotides) under Veillonella parvula. RNAcentral describes it as "bacterial SSU rRNA". It matches the Rfam family "Bacterial small subunit ribosomal RNA", at positions 28 to 487 of the family's 1533-position model. Lineage: Bacteria; Bacillati; Bacillota; Negativicutes; Veillonellales; Veillonellaceae. The record is from RNAcentral.